Molecule: non-coding RNA, 148 nt
Filed under: Nomascus leucogenys (northern white-cheeked gibbon)
Lineage: Eukaryota; Metazoa; Chordata; Mammalia; Primates; Hylobatidae
Source: Rfam by way of RNAcentral
GCCAGGUGUGGUGGUGCACACCUGUAGUCCCAGCUUCUUGGGAGGCUGAGGCAGGAGAAUUGCUUGAACCCAGGAGGUGGAGGUUGCAGUGAGCCGAGAUAGCGCCACUGCAUUCCAGCCUGGGUGAUAGAGCAAGACUCUUUCUCAA